UUCUUUUUUUCUUCUUUUCUUUUAUAGUCAGUCUUGUGCCACUGACAUAUAUAUAUAUAUAUAUAUAUAUAUAUAUAUAUAUAUAUAUAUAUAUAUAUAAUAAACUACUUACUCUAUAAAUGAAAUUAAAAAACGACAAAUGACUCUUAGUUAAAAUAAUAGACUGAUAAAAAUAAAAUUAAAACAUAAUUAAAAAACUCUAAAAAUAGUGUAUAACUGACUGUCAUCACCGACAUCUGUAGGAAUAUUUUUUCUAUAGUAAACCAUUGUACAUGUAAUCCUUAAGUCUUAAUUAAUAGGUACUUUGAAUUAAUCCAACAUAGAAGAAACAGGGAAUUCAAGGAUUCCCAAUCACCAUUACACAUCUGAAAAACACAAACCUAAUCUCGCCAUGGGCAGGGCAAUUAAACCAUGCAAACCUCUUUUACAUCUCUUUCCUAUUUUUUUAUAUUAAGUUUUGCUAAUUACAUAGUUGAACGACAAACCCUGUGGAUACUUUAUUACUUGUUGUGAUUUGGUGCACUUGCCAAUUUCGUCAUUCACUAUAAGACAAUGAAAUUUAUUAUACACGAUAAAGAGAUUAAAACAUUUACUAUUAUUUAGAAAAAAAUAGGUUAAAAGUCCAAAGUUAGUUUAUAUUCUAAUUCUAUUUCUUCCCAUAUUUCUUAGCAUAAUAGUAUCCAAUUCUUCUUUCAGUAAGAUUUUUGACCGUGCUUGUAAAACAAAGAAAGAUUGUCCAAAACUUUGAGGAGUUAAUGUUAGGUGUCAUAAAGGCCAAUGUGUACCGAUCUAAAACAUCCUAAUAAAAUAAACGAUCUUUCUCUAGUAAGAGAAUUGUACAAUAUAUAUUAUGCUAUAAUAUUCCACUUAUUGUCAUUUAGUUAUUGUGCAUGCUCUCAAUAAUUUUUUUCCUUCUGUUUUUCCCUAAUUUCUUGAACCUUGAAGUUAUGAUUUUGUACUAUAAUAUGAUGGAAAUGAAAUAUGCCCAACUUCAUUUUACAGCAAGGGUGAUGGUCCAAUUAGACAAGUGUACCAAAUCGUUUACCAAGUAAUAAAGUGAUUAGUAGAGUAUCGUAUCUACAUGAACUUUUGUUUCGUCCAAACAAUUCGCGUUACUUAUUUUAAGUUAACGAUAUAAAAUAAAAGAGUUAAGGGUUAGACAUUGCAAUUUUUAUCUGUUUGUAACAGAGCAAGUUACCUAUUUGGUUGCAAAAAAAGUAAGCAGCCAUUAGGACUCUUUGAAUCCUCCCUAUUUAUUUUGUUGGAAUUAAAUAACAUUCAUGUCGCGUUUAGUUAUCUUAAAGUAGACUAUACAAGUAAUGAGGUUGUUGGGACGUUCUAAGCUAGUCGGGUGUUAAGCUGCACCUGCUGAUCGCACAGUGAUCUUUACAUGCGUGGUUUAUACUAUCCCUGUUGAUCUAGGUCAAUUCCUCCAAUGGCUAACUACAGCUACUGAUCGCAUGGUGAUCCUUACGUGCGGGGUCUUGAUAAUUCAAAGGUAAUUGAAACAUAAACUUAAAUUGGCGUUCCUAGGUUUCCAAAGGCAAUAAAGGCCAGUGUUCCCGAAGGUCUUCCCAUCUAUGAAUCUUAGGACACUCAUAACAUACUAUCCUUCUCCACUUGGUAGUUCUAUAAAUGGGAAGCCCUAUCAACAUCUACUUUACCAAGAGGUCGAGGAAAAUGUCUCACUAGGAUCGGUUCAAUUCCCUUGGUACUUGUUUCCCUAAUUAAUUACUAGUUACAUCCUAGGUUCAACAAAUUUUACUCAAUAUUAGUAAUGUCACCUCCUAAGUACUUACUACUAGGGUCAACUCAUUCUCGGUAUCUUUUGUCUAGUUAUUAAUCACUUACUUCCUAGAUAGGUAGAUAUUAAUAUACAAGAUAUAAACAUCAUGAUAGUAAUAUCAAUAUUAGGCAUUGUCACAACCUAAGUACCUAAUAUAGUGUUGCACUUUGCCGGAAUAAACUAAUCCUAAUAAAACAUAACAGCGAACAAAAAAUAUACUAAAAUAAACGACAUUAAAUUAAAUAAUUAUUCAACAAAAUAAAAAUAGAGGUUUAUCUUAGAACCCUAGCCUAUAAGUAUCUGGUUACACAUGAUAACUAAGACAAAAUACAACAAGAUAAAAAACAUACGCUAGAAAAGAUGGAAGAAGAUAGAACUCCUCCUUGGCUCCUAGAAUCGCCUUCUUCUUGAACUGCUCCAGUCCUAAACGAGAAAUUAUGAUUGAGGAAGACAGUAUUAUAGGGAAAGUUCCCACCUAAUUUGGGCUAAAAACAUGGGCUAUGAUGACAGACUGUCAUUCCACAUUUUUAGAGUCUUUUUAUGAUAUUUUUGAGUUCAUAAGCAAGCUUAAACAACAAGAAAAGCAAGAAAAAUAGAAGAUUUUGAAAAAAGCAAAAUCAUGUCACGAUUGUUGAAAACGUGUCACAAUUUAGAGCAUAGAAUGAGGUUCAUUCGACAUUGGUUAAAACGUGUCACUUUUGCUAUUUCUUGACACGAUUUUAGGAACAUGUGGCACAAGAAAAGAAAAUAAUGUCACAACAUGGAAGGUGCAGAAACAAUUGGGCUUUGACCAAAAAUUCAUGAUGUUGACCCAAGAGAAUAGAAAACUAUCAUGCUGCCAAUUGGAAAAGGGAGGAGGUCACUUUGGCAUAUAAAUAUAAUAAGCAGCUCCACAAGCAAAAGGAUGUUGGAGAUUAGGAUUCACGUCUUGGAAACUAGGAGGUUGAAAUCACGGUUUUGGGAUUGGAAGCCGCACUCAUCAUCACGAUUUGGAAAAGAAAGAAAAGGGCCGCACGCAUCACGAGAGAAGGGGAAGCACAUGGAAAUAGAGAGCAACAACACCGAUUGAAUUAGAUUGAAGAGUAACACUGGCAACGACGGAACUCUAUCGGUUUAUUUUCUUUACUAUAUUGUUUAUUUCUUUAUUCAUGUCUAACUAAUUCUUUAGGUUAGGUCUGAGAUGAUUCUUUGUAACCUUAAUUGAAUCAUAUUGCUGUGAAACUCAAUUUAUUGUGAAUGACAAUCUAGUUUUUAUUCAAUUCAAUUGUUCUUAAUGUUUUUUAUAUCCUGAUCAAAUAUAAACAUGAUUUAGCCAUAACGAAUGACUACUGACCCUAGCUUUCGACUUAGACCUAAUUGAAUUGUUCUAAUAAGCAUGGUUAGUGUAGGAAUGGAUAAUCGUUUGUUAGUGAUACUAGGUUAACGUGCUUAAACCUUCAAAGAUUAUUAGACCACCUAAGGAAUUAGGGGCUGUAGUUUGAGAAGAGGGUCCUAACUCAAGGGAUUGAUUAGGACUAUUUUGUUAACUAUCGUGGAACUAGAAAAUCAUUCAUAAGAAUAGUUUCAGUAUACCAAUUAAGGGAACAUCGAUGAUUCGAAAGACCUAGUCUCAUCUCUCCUUAUCUUUUCCAAAACUAUCUUUAUUUUAUGUUAUUUAAUUUUAUGCAAUCCAAUCAAAUCUACUGCCCAGGGCAAACAAAAUAAUUUAUACAUCCUAAAUAUUUACUUUAUUGCUUGAGAUUAAUACAGUCCUCGUGGAUACAAACUUAUUUUAUUACUUCGAUGCAUUUUUAGUACACUUGCUAAAAAAUCUAUCGGGCUUCUAGGGGCGAAAAAGUCACAUAAAGUGACUUUUUUCGCAAGUCACCAUGCGCCAGUUGUAACAGCCCAAUUUUAGCUAGAUUUAUUUUAAUUACUUUUAUUAUGUGGUUUAUGUGUUUGUGUGUGAUCAUUCUCCAUUGGGUGCAUUUUCAUGGGUUUCUGUGUUAGAAGGGUAUUUUAGUCACUUGGACUUAGCGGUAUUUUGAUCAUUUUGUGAGAACAGGUAAAAAUUAUAAGUUUUGGUGAGAAUUACUUUUAGUGAUUAGUGAGAAUAGUUAUUUCAUUAAGUUACUAGAGUAAAAUUGAGAUUUUACCGUUUAGUGACCGUUAGUGACAUUUUACCGUUACUUGAUCGUUAUUAGUUAAUUACCGGUUAGAGUGUAGAAACAUUUGAGAUGUGAAUAGAAAUGGAUUAAGCCCACUAGAAACUAGGUUAGGCCCAUUAAGGGUUAUACCUAAGGAGUUUUUUUAGGAAAAUAUCACUUCAUUCAUUUCAUAAGAUAUUUUCUAGAAGGUGUUAGAGAGAGAAAGUGGGAGAAGAGAAGAACAAGGGUUAGAGAGAAGAGGAACUUGAAGAAUUCAAGGGUUUGAAGAAUCAUAGGAGCAAAAGUGAAGCAUGAGCUAAUAGUUGGUGAUAAUUAAGGUAAGUGGGUUAGUUUUUAUCAUAAUCAUUUAGUUAAUUUUUUCCUCUUGUUCUAUGCAUAAUUGAUUAUGAGAAUAAGUGAUUAUCAUGAACCCAAUCUUUGAAAUUCGUGCUUAUGUGGUAGAGAUAUGUUUGAAUAUGUUAAUUUGAUGUUAAAUGAAUUGUUGAUGAUGAAAUUGCAAGUUCAUGAUGUAUGAAAUUGGGUAGUUUGUAAAUUAUGCUCAAUUGGUGAAUUAUGCAUGGUUGUUGAUGAAUUGUGAUAUGUUUCAUGAUUAUUGGUUGUUGUUGUUUUUUAUUCAUAUUGUUGAUGAUGAUAUAUGUCUUGGGUUUGCAUGAUUCAUGAUUUGUUGUUGAGAAAUGGAUUGUUGUUGGUGGUUUUGUGAAAUUGGUGAAGUUGAGUUAAGUGUUCAUGUGAAGGACCAAAAUGAACUUUUGAUGUAUAUGGUUGUUGACUGAAAUUUUGAUGUUGUUGGAUGAAUUGAACUUAGAGAAAUUUCUGUUUUCAUGUUGUGGUUGUGUUAGUCGAGUCGUUUGGGAGAAAACGGGAUUUUCGUGUGAAAUGUCGAGGUUUAAGCGUUUUCGCCAACAAGUGAUUAUGUGAGGUUUUGGAAAAUGAUUUUUGGGAAGAUUGAAACAUGAAAUUUCUGUAGAUUAUGAUAGAGCUAAGUGUCAGGAGCGUGUAGGCGAAAACGGCGUCAAAAUCCGAUUAACGGUUUGAAUUUUAUGCGCGAAAUGGUGAAAACGGAAAAACGAAGAAAAAGCUGUGCUGUCAGACGAGCACGACCCUGCGAGUGCAUGGCACGGGCCGUGCGUACAACUCUGCUUUUUUUUGGCAAGGCCGUGCGUGUGCACGGCACGGGCUGUGCGUGCUGUUAGGACUUCGGUCUUCUGCGUUUUUGUGCUUUUUCACCCAUUUCCGUUUUGAAUUGAUUUUUGGUGUAAACAUGAAAGUUUUAGGUAAUUUUGUUAGCUUUCCAAUGGUUUUGGUUUGACGUCCAAAUGAUUUUUAGAACUUGAGUUAUGAUCAAAUUACUACACAUGGGUCAUGUGGAUUUUUGUGAAAACUUAUCAUAACUUUUUCUACGAGCCGUGAAACUUUUUCAAACUUGAUAUUGGGUCUAAUGAAGUACUUAGAGUGAAUAAUUGAGUAUGCAUUUAUGUAUUUGGGAAUGUGAAUGUGUUGAUGGUUUAAGAAAUAUUUUGGGCGGAGUUGAAUCGGUGAAAACGGGUUUUGAGCUAAAUGUCGUUUUGUCUUGGAUUUUCUCAUACGAACUUAAGCUAUCCUUUGAACUAAUUUCUAAUAGUUUGUAAGUGGCUUAAGUCCUUGGCUACAUGAUUGAUUAAGAUUGAAUUGUAGGAUUUCAAACUUGAAUAAGUUGCCUAACUUUGAAAAUUAUCAAUGUUGGCCGUUUGCCACAUGAUUUGGAUUUUUGUCGGAAAUGUUUCUUUAGCAAAUUGUCUUGUGAGUUAUUGAGAUUAUUCUUGUAUGACUAAGUGAAGUUGUAUGAAUGAAUGAUUGUAUUGGAUAUGAUGUUUAUCAUGAGAUGUGUAUGCUAUCUUACUUAGAAUGUAAGGAAUGCUUGAAUGGUGAAACUAUAUGUGAUAGUUGAUGUUGAAUGACAUUGUUGAUUAUUGAUAAUCAUUUUUAUGUGUGAUGAAUUGUAGAUGUUGAAUAUGAUAUUUUAUCAUGAGAUGUUGUUUUCCCUCUUACUUGGAAUAUGAGAAUGCUUGAAUUGGUGAAACUAUAUGUGAUAGUUGAUGUUGAAUAACAUUGUUGAUUAUUGAUGAUCAUGUUGAUGUGGUGAUGAUGAAUGCUAUGAUUUAAUUGUGUAUGGGCAUGUUUUCUUGAUAAUGCAAAUGAUGUGGAGAUGAACAAUAUAAUUGGGUGUCGUCCUAUAUAUUGUGGACAAAAUUGUGAUUGUUGUCGCAUUAUCGAGUCUUGUUACAUGUCCAUGCAUCAUAGUCGUGUGGCUGUAAAAGAGUUGAGCUCUUUUACUUCGAGAUUAUUGUAAGGCAGGUGUGAGUCCUUACAUACGAUGUGCAAGUGGCAUCGAAAGGUGACGACCUUGUUGAGAUUUGGUAUCACAUGCAUUUAUGUGUCAAUAAGUGCAUAUCAUGACAUGAGUCUUAAAUGAUGUAUGUGAUUGAUGAUUGUCCUUGAUACUUGUGAUUGAUGAUUGUACAUGAUACAUGUGAAUGAUGUUUGUUCAUGAAAUGUAAUUGGUGAAUGUUCAUGUCAUAUGCGAUUGGUGAUUAAUUGUUGUGGAGCAUUGGGGAUAGGAUAUAAGUAUUAAUAUGGGAGUAUUAGUGUUGAUCAAGUGCAUGAUGUUUAAUUUGUAAUAUUCAUGUUAACUGUUAUUUGGAUUAUGAUAAUAUAAUGCUUACCCCUAGUGGUUUCUAACCGCCUACUUGUCUGUAUGGAUGAGUAGACGUUGUGCAGGAGUAGUGCUCGGUGAGUUUAUGCUUGGUGAUAUCGGGAGCUUUCUCCGAUAUCGGUGUAGAGUCGGCUCUGAUCUAGGCUUGUUGUGUCGGUCUAGAUAAGGUUAUUUUCAUAUUUGUUUUGUCGGAGAUUAGCCGUUGUUGGGAUUUUUGAGAUGCAUCUAUGUUGAUGUAAUUUAUUUAUUCAUAACAUGUAUAUUUGAAUUUACUCUGGUUUAUAUUCUUCUGCGAUUGUUGAGGUUUAUAUACAUGUUUAUUGGUUUUUUAAUUUUGAAUGUGGCGUAGCCUCUAUUUCUUGAAUAAAUGUAUUAUUCGCAUGUUUAAUUGCUUUAAUAGAAAUAGGAGCGUUACACCAGGCACCUAAGGCCAUGCGCUAGCCGCAUGUGCUUGCCAUCCUGAGGCGCCUAGCGCCCCCUGGCAUGCACUAGGCGCUUUACCACAACAUCUAUGGGGUGCCUAGCCCCCUCUAUGGUGCGCCUGAGUGCUUCAGUGCGUUUUCUGUGCUGUUUUGCAUGUUGAUGUGUUUUCUUCAAUGUAAGAUGUAUUAGAACUUGAGAAAAAAAUUACUCCCUCUGUAAAGUCUUCUGAGGUCUCUUGAAUCUUCUUUCUUCAUCUUUCCAAGGACCACAUAAAUCUUCGGAUGUCUUGCUUUGCCUGAUUUGCUUGAUUUCUUUGUGAAUUACUUCAAGAACACCCUAAAAUUAACUCAUUUACUAAAAUUGACUGAAAAACAUGUUAUGAGUAAAGUAAGAUGACAUGUCAUCAAAGGGGUAAGAAAAUAAUAAAAUUAUUUAAAGGAUGACAAGUUAGUAAAAUUUUAUUCAAUUAUUUUGAUUAUUAUAUUUAUUACAUGACCUCCUUCCUAAGUGUGUUUAAAGGACAUAAAUAACACAUUGAUAUAUUUAAGAUAUAUUCAGUAAUUAUUCUAGAAUUUUGAAGGGUUUUUAAAAUUUUAAAAUGAUUAAACUAUUUAAUUAUUUCUAUAAGACGAUACAAUUUAUUAUACACUAUAAAGAGAUUAACUCAUUUACUAUUAUUUGGAUUCAAAUAGGAAAAAAUAUGGCUAAAACUCCGAAGUUAGUUUAUGUUCUAAUUCUAUUUCUUUCCAUAAUUUUUAGCAUCAUAGUUUCUAAUUCUUUUCCUGAUAAGAUAUUUAUUGGUGAUUGUAAAACAGAUAAAGAUUGUAAACCAAAACGAGGAGUUAAUUUUAGGUGUCGUAAAGGAAAAUGUUAUCCAAGAUAAAUGAGUUCUUUCUAUAGCAAGAGACUUGUACAAUACUUUAUGUUAGAAAAUUCCACUUGUUGUCAUUUACUUUUUUUUGUGCAUGCUUCAAUAAUUAUUAUUUCUUCUUCUUCUUCUUUUUCUGUUUUUCCCUAAUUUCCUGGACCUUGAAGUUAUGAUUUUGUACUCUAAAAUGAUGGAAAUGAAAUAAUCCCAACUUUAUUUCACAACAAGGAUUGGGAUUUUGGAGAUUUUAAAGACACUUUAUUUGGAGCUAAGGACUGCAGAAUUUGUGGUGGCAUGCCAUCCAAGUCAUAUUUAGACCAUAUUUCAUGAAAUGUUGUCUUUAUUUAAUCUGGUUAUUUGUGCUUUAGCAAUGAGUAGUUAAAUUUCUCGUGAUUAGGUCUAUAAGAUAAUUAUGUUCUAGCUGUUUGAACAAUGAAACUAUAUUUAAUACAAUUGCAAUUCUAGUAUUUAUACAAUAUAACUUAUGUUUAUUGUUUUUUGUAUCUUCAUCACAUUUAAAAUGAACUCAAAGAUCAAUUGACUAUUAACAUUAACUAUUGACUUAGAUCUAGUUACACUAGUCAAAUUAAAUAAACAAGUUGCUUUAGAGAUAUCAACCUGAUAGGUUGUGAUUAAAGAUUAAAAUUCAAUAAAACCUUCGAUGUUAUGGACUCAUCUAAGAGAUUAGUGAGUUUUAAUCUAAGAAGAUGGUUUUAGUCAAAAGAUUGAUUAGAGCUGUUUUUCUUUUUAAUUAUAAUGAAACUAGAAGAACAAUUAUUGGAUUUAGGUGCAGUUUACCAAACAUUGACGAAUAUAGGAUUCAAAAGACAUGAUCAUUUUUUUCUUCUAAAAAUCAUUACCAAUCUAUUUACAUUUUGCUAUUUAUGUUAUGAUUGUUAAACAAACUAUCUGCAUUGUGCAACCCCGCAAUUUUAAAACAUCCGUGUUGAUAAUGUCUCUGCCUAGUAGAAACUAAUGCAUUCCAAGUGGAGAUGAAUUUUAUACUUUAUUGCUUCGAUAAUUUUUAGUACACUUGCUUUGAAAGACUCCUCUCUAAAAAUAUUUCAAAAAUCCAAUUUUAUUCUUCGGUUAUUAUUUAUAAUUGGAAUCAAACUAAAUUGGUCCCUUAACUAUAAAGUGUCUCAAUUUGGUCCCAUAAAUCUUUUGCCGUUUACUAUUUUGGUCAUCUCCGUUAUUAUUUUGCAAAAUCUGUUAACUAUUUUCAUAUGUCAUUUAAGAUUGGUGAUCAACAGUUAAAUUUGAAAAACACACAUGAUAUACCAUUGACUUACGACAUAUGAUAACUAUUAUUCACCUUAACAUCAUCACCCUUUUUGAAACACAAAAAUUCACAAAAUUAGAACCUAUAUCCCUAAUUCAUCUCUUUCUCCAUCAAAUUCAUUUUCUCAAGUUUAAAAAUUGGAUUCAUUUGCCUCCAUUACAACAAGCAACAACACACACUUAUUAUACAUAAAUCACCAUAAUUUUUAAGCAUUGUAUACAACACAGAACCCAGCCAGAGCAACACUAACUCUCCUUCCCUCAUUUUCACCAUGAAACAACCACCACCAACUAAAUCAUCACCGUUCACUCCUCCACUGCCUCCCACACCAACCACCGUCCAUCCAUGUCGUAAGCCCACUGAUUCUUGAUAAUCUCGCUUCGAUUCUUUAUUUGGAAUCUAAAUCUGAAUCUCACGUUUAUAUGAAUGAAUCCGAAUCUGAACACUAUCUAUAAAAGUGUCAAAGAGAAAAGGGUCAAAGAUUGAGAAUAAAAAAAAACAUUAAAAGGGUAACUUUUUUUUUCUGGGAAUGGUGAUAACACAACCUAUAAGAGGGAAGAACAGUGGUGGACGAUGAGGUUGAUUUUAUAGUGAAGAGUGAUGAAAUGAAAAUGGAGCAGUGGAACCAGAAGGAAGAACAGUGGUGGAUAAUAAAUGAAGCAAAAUCAGAAAUCUCACCUUCUUCAACAUCCUCAACUUCUUUCCCAUUUCAAUCAAAUUCUUCAAUUUUCAAAAUCCAAAAACAAUCCAAAAACCAUGAAUAAUGAACCACAUAGAAAAAAAAAAAAAUCACACAACAACAAUACAAACAAAAAACCAUUAAUCGGUUUUGGAUUCAAAAUUGAACAAACAAAUUAGGUUAAUAAAUUAAUAAGUUAAGGUUACAAAUUUUCAAUUUUCGAUAAUGUUACAACGAAAUCCGUUUUUCGCGGUGGCGUAUCGAGUUACUGGUGAUCGGAAUUUUCAGAUCCGAUGAAAAAAAUCGUGAACUUUGAAGAAUGAAAAAUGAAGCGAGAAAAAAUUGAAUACGAUAAGAAAAUUGGAUUAUGCGUCGGGAUUGUUAAUGAUGAAUUUUUGAAAGGACAAAAAUUGGAUUUUUUUUUAAGGUUAUAUGAAGAUGAAUAGGGAAGAAGAUGACAAUAAAAGUUAUCAUAUGUUGUGAGUCCACAGUAUGCCAUGUGUGCUUUAUAAAUCCAACCGUUGAUCAUCAAUCUUAAGUGACACGUGGAAAUGAGUUAACAAAUUUUGCAAAAUACUAACGGAGAUGACCAAAAUAGUAAACGACAUAAGAUUUAUGGAACCAAAUUGAGACACUUUAUAGUUAGGGGACCAAAUUGAAAACUAAAAAGACCAACUUAAAAUUUUUAAAACAUAAGAGAGCAACUUAAAACUUAAAGUAAACAUUAGGGACCAAACAUGAAAUUAAGCCAUAAAUUUAUAUAAUUGGAAAACAAUCCAUACAGAAAAACAACGCAUUUCUAGUGUUUUUUUUUAAUUAAAAUAAAAAUAUAGAUUCGGGAAUUUGCUUUAUUUUGCUAAGUAGUAAUUGGCACAAAAAUGGUCCUCUAUUAAUUCUUCUGGUAACAAACCAAUGCUUUAUGCUCACAAUAUAUUAUAUAGUUGAACUUGAGAAUAAUGCUCUUAUGCGGCCCUAUUCCGUGUGACAUAUGGUCCAGAAAAUAAAUAGACUAAGCAAUAGAUACAACAUCAAAAAUUAUAAAUAUAGAAAGUAAAUUCAAUUCCCGUGAGUCCACUUCUCCAUAAUUAAAUUGUGUGAAUUCUAGCCACUAGGCUACUUGACAAAAAAAAAAGUAAAUUCAUUUUACAUGUGUGAAAUUAAUUUGUAAACUCAUACAAGUUCACCUCAUAUUAAAAUUACAUACGUACAUACCACUACACGAAACUCUCGAUUUGCCUUCGGAUUUUCCUGCGGAAUCAAGUGAUAAAUCCGCAGGAAACAGGUUCCCUGCCGAUUUUGCCAAGGAUUUGCACUUCCAGGUAAUACCUCGUGGGUAAUUGUUUCCUGAGGAUUUUUGAAACAGCAGGAAACUUUCUUACGGAAAAGCCAAUAAUAUCUGCAGGAAAUGUUUGGUCAGAGUGGGAGAGAUUCCCCUGCCCGUCAGUGUUUCCUGCGAACGUUCCGCAUGUAAUUCUCAGGUAAUGCUGCAGCAGAGAUAUUUCCGCAGGUAAUUCCUCAGGAAACUGAACCAAUCCGCAGAAAAAUCCCCAGGAAAUUUAAUGGUUCAUCAGAGCAGUCUGUUUCAUCAGUACAAUUUUUUUGAUUAUUUUCUAUUAAUGAAUGCUAACAACCAUAUUAAAAGUCAUUUUUAAUUAUUAGUUUGAUAUAGAAGUUUAUAUUUUUUUUAAAGAUGACAUAGAAGAUUAUUAGAAACUAUCUCGAGUCAAAUUUGGCACAUAGCAUAUGCGUUUUUUUAAAAACAUGUAAAGAGGUAAAAAAUCCAAAAAUAGCAUACACUCAAAAAAAUGGCAAUAAAAACUUGUUCUUUGUAACAAAAACACUAUUCAUAAAAUACAUCAAGUUUCCAUCAUUAUGAAGCUGCAAAAUAUGCAUAAUAAACAUUUCAACAAACACUAUAAUAUGACAAAAUACUCUUGCAAGACAUAAAAACAUUUCACUUGUAUUAAAACUGCCACAAAAGGGCAUCAGAACUACUUGCAAUAUCUUGAAACAGAAUCAACACUCAUACAAUGGCAUUGGCAGCACUUGCAAUCCUAGGCCAAAGAUCAGCACACUCCUUACCAAUUGGUCCUGUGAUAGCGGAACCUACAAUGGACAACAUGACAUAGAUGUUAAGACCCAAAUCAAAUGAUACCUUUCAUUUCUUCAAAAACCAACAUCACAUAUUAACAAGAGCACAACAACAAAAGCAUAUAAUUAGAAUUGAGACAUUGUAUAAAUCUGAUAAAAUCACAUAUUGAACGAAUAUAAAUCUAAUCUGGCUAAAAGUAUGUUAAAAGUACAGUGAUCGAAUUGAUUGAAAUGAUAUUGGCUAAAAAGAUGUCAAAGGUACAGUCAACUUCAUGAUUCACUAUAAUAAUACCGAGAACAGACAAAGAAAUAGGCCGAAACAUAGAGCAAAUUCUAUAGUUUGGCCAAUUCUUUCAGGUGAAACUCUCUCUCACUACACUAUAUCAAGUACAGUCAAGCUAAUCCGCUCCAUAUCAAAGCAUCAAAAUUUAUCAACAUCUUCGUAUGAUUUGAAAAGUCAUUAAAAAUAUAAUCUUUUACAGGUUUACACGGGAAGAGAUGCAGGUUAAGAUGGAUAAAUUACUUAACGCCUGAUUUGAAAAGAGGAGCAUUCUCACAAUAAGAAGAGAAUUUGAUCAUUGAACUUCAUGCAGUACUUGGCAACAGGUAUUUGUGAUUCUGUUGAGAAACUAUAAUAACUACUUUUCAUAAGUCCUUUUUUAUUUUUUUAUACUAUAGUUUUCGAUUUUAAUCAUGUGAAGGAAUUAAUUGUUGUUGUUUUAUAUCAGAUGGUCUCAGAUUGCAGCACAAUUACCAGGAAGAACUGUCAAUGAUCCAAAAACUCACAAACCACUCUCAGAUGUUGAAAAUGACAAUGAAAAAUCACUCAAGAAGAGGUUGAGACAAAGUGGCAUUGAUCCAAACAGUCACAAACCACUCUCAGAGGUUGAAAAUGACAAUGAAAAAUUACUCACAUCCAACAAAACCAAUCAAAUAUAGGAAUUUCUGAAUAUCCAAAUGCAUCUAUUUGUUUCACACCAACUUCAACUUCUUCACAAAUUAUGUCAGAUACAAAUUCUGUAAACUUCAAAUGCAAGGACAUGCAUUGUUAUAAUGCAAUCAAAGUAAACUCAGUAAACCCAACAGUCAAUUUCCUUAAUAUAUAAAAUCUUAUCAAUAGCAGCAAGAAUGUCCUCUCAUGCUUCUGAUCAAUAGAGUUUAAUAAACCUCAAAGCAUUAUAACAAUGCAUGUCCUUGCAAUCAAAGUAAACUCAGUAGAAAUAUAUAUGUAACUGACCAAUUAAGUUUCAACUUUGCACAUAAUAAUGCCAUGAAUAAUCACAACUUGCUUACAUAAGAUUUUCACAUUUUCACAUUUGCUUACAUAAGACUUUAGAGUCUUCUAUUCGCUUGUUGAGGUGUUUUCUUCAAUGUAAGAUGUAUUGGAACUUUGGAACAAAAUUUCCCCCUCUGUAAAGUCUUUUGAGGCCUAUCAAAUCUUCAUUCUUCAUCUUCCCAAGGACCACAUAAAUCUUCGGAUGUCUUGCUUUGCCUGGUUUGUUUGAUUUCUUCGUGAAUUACAUCAAGAACACCCUAAAAUUGCUAUGUCUCGGGAAGAAUAGAAUUAUAGACUCAAAUAUAGAAAACAAUACAAAUGUUCUGAAAUCAUAGACAAUUGAUCUAAUACUCCUCUGCUUUCUGGUAAAACCUACUAAAAUUGAUAAGAAAACAUGCUAAGAAUAACGUGACAUGAUAUGUUUUUUAAAGGAUGACAAGGUAGUAGAAUUGUAUUCAAUUAUUUUGAUUCUUAUGUCUAUUACAUGACCUCCUUCCUAUGUGUGUGUUUUUUUUUGAGAGAUUCCUAUGUGUGUUAAAGAGACAAAAAUAACACAUUGAUAUAUUUAAGAGACAUUUUGUAACGAUUCUAGAAUUCUGAAGGGUUUUAAAAUUCUAUAAUGCUUAAACUAUUUAAUUAUUUCUAUAAUACCAUGCAAUUUAUUAUACACUAUAAAGAGAUCAACUCAUUUACAAUUAUUUGGAUGAAAUAGGAAAAAAUAUGGUUAAAACUUCGAAGUUUGUUUAUGUUCUAAUUCUAUUUCUUUCCAUAUUUUUUAGCAUCAUAGUUUCUAAUUCUUCUCCCGGUAGGUUAUCUUUUGGUGAUUGUAAAAUAGAUAAAGAUUGUCCAAAACUUCGAGGAGGUAGUUUUAGGUGUCGUAAAGGAAAAUGUGUACUCGAAUGAGAUAAAUGAGUUCUUUCUAUAGCAAGAGACUUGUACAAUACAUUAUGCUAGAAUAUUCCACUUGUUGUCAUUUACAUUUGUUUGCAUGCUCUCAAUAAUUAUUUUUUCUUCUUAUGUUUUUCCAUAAUUUCCUAGACCAUGAAGUUAUGAUUUUGUACUCUAAGAUGAUGGAAAUGAAAUAAUCCCAACUUCAUUUCACAACAACGGUUUCAUGUAAUGUUGUCUUUAUUUAAUCUGAUUAUUUGUGCUUUAGCCAUGAGUAGCUAAAUUUUUCGUGAUUAGGUCUAAUAUGAUUUUGUUAUAACUGUUUGAACAAUCUAAACUGUGAAACUAUAUUAAAUACAAUUGCAAUUUUAGUAUUUAUACAAUAUAACAUAUGUUUAAUGUUUUUUUGUAUCUUGAUCUAAUUUAAAUGAACUUAAAGAUCAAUUGACUAUUAGCACUAACUAUUGAUUUAGAUCUAGUAACACUCUUCAAUUAAAUAAGUUGCUUUAGAGAUAUCAACCGAAUAGGUUUUGAUUAAAGAUUAAUAUUCAAUAAAACCUUCGAUGUUAUGGACUCACCUAAGAGAUUAGUGAGUCGUAAACUAAGAAGAGGGCUCUAGUCAAAAGAUUGAUUAGGGCUUUUUUUUUAAAAAUAUUUAAAAAAAUAGAAGAACAAUUAUUGGGUUUAGGUGCAGUUUACCAAACAUUGACGGAAAUAGGAUUCAAAAGACAUGAUUAAUUUUUUCUUCUAAAAUUCAUGACAAAUCUAUUUACAUUUUGCUAUUUGUGUUAUGAUUGUGAAACAAAAUAUUUGCAUUGUGCAACCCGCAAUUUUAAAACAUCUGUGUUGAUAAUGUCUCUACCUAGUAGAAACCAAUGCAUUCUACGUGUAGAUUUCACAACAACGGUUUUGGAGAUUUUAAAGACACAUUUGGAGCUAAGCAUUGCGGAAUUUGUGGUCGCAUGCCAUCCAAGUCAUAGUUAGACCAUAUUUCAUGUAAUGUUGUCUUUAUUUAAUCUGAUUAUUUGUGCUUUAGCCAUGAGUAGCUAAAUUUUUCGUGAUUAGGUCUAAUAUGAUUUUGUUAUAACUGUUUGAACAAUCUAAACUGUGAAACUAUAUUAAAUACAAUUGCAAUUUUAGUAUUUAUACAAUAUAACAUAUGUUUAAUG
This 15301-nucleotide long non-coding RNA is filed under the name Medicago truncatula (barrel medic). RNAcentral describes it as "long non-coding RNA (MTRU_LNC001476)". The record is from RNAcentral. Lineage: Eukaryota; Viridiplantae; Streptophyta; Magnoliopsida; Fabales; Fabaceae.